CCUACGGGAGGCUGCAGUGGGGAAUAUUGGACAAUGGGGGGAACCCUGAUCCAGCCAUGCCGCGUGUGUGAAGAAGGCCCUCGGGUUGUAAAGCACUUUCAGUGAGGAAGAACGCCUGGUGGUUAAUACCCAUCAGGAAAGACAUCACUCACAGAAGAAGCACCGGCUAACUCCGUGCCAGCAGCCGCGGUAAUACGGAGGGUGCGAGCGUUAAUCGGAAUUACUGGGCGUAAAGCGCGCGUAGGUGGCUUGAUAAGCCGGUUGUGAAAGCCCCGGGCUCAACCUGGGAACGGCAUCCGGAACUGUCAAGCUAGAGUGCAGGAGAGGAAGGUAGAAUUCCCGGUGUAGCGGUGAAAUGCGUAGAGAUCGGGAGGAAUACCAGUGGCGAAGGCGACCUUCUGGACUGACACUGACACUGAGGUGCGAAAGCGUGGGUAGCAAACAGGAUUAGAUACCCCGGUAGUC
RNAcentral lists this ribosomal RNA (465 nucleotides) under Vreelandella stevensii. Its description in RNAcentral is "partial 16S ribosomal RNA". It matches the Rfam family "Bacterial small subunit ribosomal RNA", at positions 338 to 795 of the family's 1533-position model. Lineage: Bacteria; Pseudomonadati; Pseudomonadota; Gammaproteobacteria; Oceanospirillales; Halomonadaceae. The record is from RNAcentral.